Molecule: long non-coding RNA, 1618 nt
Organism: Erinaceus europaeus (western European hedgehog)
Lineage: Eukaryota; Metazoa; Chordata; Mammalia; Eulipotyphla; Erinaceidae
Exons: 2
Source: RefSeq, a predicted model, not a curated record
UCUCUCUCUCUCUCUGUGUGUGUGCUUAUGUGUUUGUUUGUAGAAAAAAAAAAAGUGGAGGCUUAUGACUAGCCCCUUCCUAGUAGGUGCUGCGCCAGCUAUCAAAACAAGAAUUUGCAGACCUGUUCCUUGUGCCAGAUAGCCCUGUGAGAUGACCCAAGACAGAAGGAGGCCCAAGGGUCUAGACUGAAAUAAAACCUAAAAUGGGUAGAAGACCCCAAGUAGAAGACAAAUGAAGACUGAAAUGGCCUGAGACCAUCAGAAACUUGGAGUUGAGACAUACAGAGGAAGGUCCUUUUUGGACAAAAGAUGUGACUGAGUUGGAUGAAGAAAGCUCAAGUUAGAAAGCUGAAGACCUGAAAGGAGGGGCCUGUGGGAGGCUUGAUAUCCAUGACUCAAGACUAAGGCCUAAGAUAGAAAGCCUUACUUGAAGACCCAGGACCAAAGGAUAGAAGUCUCCUGACAUACGUAAAUCCCAGGACUCAAACCUUUCUCAGUAGACUUAAUGCCAAAGAGAGACACUAUCUCAAGACUAAAUUAGGUGGGAAGCUGGAGGGCCUGAUCCCAGAAAGAACAGAAGCCCCAAGACCAGAGGAAAUUCCAAGAUGAGAAUCCUAAACUCUAGCUCUUUGUUACUAAUAUACUACCUACUCUUGGGACAUUUUAAAUUGAUUUUAUAACUCUUCAUAUCUACAUUUAAGAUUACCUCUUGUUUAAGAUAACCUUUAUGAAGUUGCUGUUACUUAAAAAAAAAGUUUAUAGUUAAAGUUUAUAAAGUUUAUAUUACCCUAGAACUAUCUUAAGCCAGUCUUUAUCAUGGUUUUGAGCCGUUUCAUAACAUUUUAUUGAUUUUUUUUAACUUCCAUUUCUCUUUACUUCCACUCUACUUAAAAGACAUAAAUAAAUGACAUUGUGCAUCAGUCUUCCCUUUACUUCAAAAGCUUAAGCUAAUGGGAAGAGGAGAAAAAUGCUAGGCUAUCUAGAGAAAGCUUGAAGAGAUGUUCCAGGCAAAUGAGAUGAAUUAGACAAGAAAUACACAGAUGUGCCAGCCUGCUGAGAAUCACCAGUUAAUAAUCAAUACCUUACUACUUUGAGCUUGGGUGAGCAGGACUCGCAGGAUUUGGGAUUUUCCCUAGUGAUGAUUACAAAGGAUGAUAGGGCCUGGAACAGAGUAAGGCCCCAACGAGACAGCUUGAACUCCCUGCUCACAGUAGUGGCCUAAUAAUUUGGUAGACUGCACCAGCCCUAUACCUGGGCUUCAUACCCACUUCUAGGCUUAAAGCAUCAUAGGAUUACUGCUACCAAUAAAGCAAGAACAAGAACACACUAUAAUCUUGAUUUAUGGCAUAAAUGAAGUUGUGAGCAAUCUACUUAUAAAGGAAAUGGCUUCAUCUCUACCCUGGUGCCUUAGAAUCUAUGCCAGAAUGCUGUGAUCAAUGGAAGAUACUUUUUACUUGUGAACUGAAAUGAAAUGCAGAAUCUCUGUGACUUGAGUGGUUUCAGUAUUAAAAAUAUGCUCAGCAUGGGGGGGGGGGUCAGCAAAAACAACUUAAAGCAUGUUACAACUAAUAUAAGUUAGAGAAUGUUUUUAAUUGUCAAAUAAAAUAAUUGAAAAUGA